RNAcentral lists this long non-coding RNA (1255 nucleotides) under Gossypium raimondii (Peruvian cotton). Its description in RNAcentral is "long non-coding RNA (GRAI_LNC007784)". The record is from RNAcentral. Lineage: Eukaryota; Viridiplantae; Streptophyta; Magnoliopsida; Malvales; Malvaceae.
UCUAGAAUCUAUAAUACAACUAGCAGUUCUUGAACAUGAACAAACAUUCAAUGGCAUGCCAGAAAUAAAGAUUGAUAAGAUAAUCAAAUCCAGCCUGAGAAAGAAAUGAAAAAUAAAUGAAACAAGUAUAAUUUGAAUAGCACAAAUGAUCAGAAUAGGCAGAGCAGCAAAAACAAAAGCCAUUCCAAGUAAUUUUAGGCCCAAAUUAAUUAUCAACAAAUGAUAAAAUCAUCAAUGCAUAAAAACUUAUAAAAUAUAGAACUUGACUGAUGCACUUUAACAAAUUGUUUAAACUUAAACCAGAUAAGUGUAAAAUCAUCAAUGCGUAAAAACUUAUAAAAUAUAGAACUUGACUGAUGCAUUUUAACAAAUUGUUUAAACUUAAACCAGAUAAGUGUAAUAUCAAUGUUAGUCAAGCAAACUGAGUAUGGUAUAAAGAAGCAACAUUCAAUAAAGGUAAUAUCUCAACAAACGAAACGUGUACAAUAAACUAUAUACACUACUUCUAUGAGGCCUACACCAAAACAGAGUAAUCUCAUAAGCACAACCACGAUAUUCAUAGCAAUUAAUGGAACAAUUAUGAAGCAGUGAUAAGCAAAAACAUAUAAUUUAAGAAGCCAAACAUGCAAAGCCAUUACACAAUUAUCAUCAUUCAGGAAACAUUCAAAACCAAAACGAACUUGAUAUACCUUAGAAAUGGGCUUCCUCUUCUUGUCAAGCUUCUCCUUCUUAGCCUUAACACGUUGUGCCUCGGCUAAAAGAGACAUCCUCCUAGCAGUCUUCGCAUAUGGGUUCAACUUCAGCAUAGCAUUCAAGUUCUUGAGUGGGUUCUUCUUCAAAGGUGCCCUCUUGAUCUCCUUCUUAAUGGGCUUCACAACCGACUGCACCUCAUCAGAGUUGAUAAUCCUACCCAGAUCAGCAUUCACCAUCUUAGAUCGAGGCAGUACGUACCCUUUCUUCUUCUCAGAAGGCUUAUCAAAUGACCCGUAAAUCGUAUCCAGCUUCUCGUAAGCCGAUUUGGUCCAAAUAAUGAACCUUCCAAGGUGACCACCAGGUGCCAGUUUCAACAGAUUAAGCCUCUCCACGUUGGCAACCUCCACUCCAGGAAUGUUACGGAAGGCUUUAACAAGCUUAGCUCCCUCAGUUCCGUAAACAAUCAAAGGACCUUUACGGGAAAUGUACCUCCGAUUCCUCAUUUUUCCUUUUCCGGGUCGGAUUUCUUGGCUGUCCUUAGCCUUUUCAACAUCAGGAUAUG